GAUGAACGCUGGCGGCGUGCCUAAUACAUGCAAGUCGAGCGAACAGACGAGGAGCUUGCUCCUCUGACGUUAGCGGCGGACGGGUGAGUAACACGUGGAUAACCUACCUAUCAGACUGGGAUAACUUCGGGAAACCGGAGCUAAUACCGGAUAAUAUAUUGAACCGCAUGGUUCAAUAGUGAAAGACGGUUUUGCUGUCACUUAUAGAUGGAUCCGCGCCGCAUUAGCUAGUUGGUAAGGUAACGGCUUACCAAGGCAACGAUGCGUAGCCGACCUGAGAGGGUGGUCGGCCACCCUGGAACUGAGACACGGUCCAGACUCCUACGGGAGGCAGCAGUAGGGAAUCUUCCGCAAUGGGCGAAAGCCUGACGGAGCAACGCCGCGUGAGUGAUGAAGGUCUUCGGAUCGUAAAACUCUGUUAUUAGGGAAGAACAAAUGUGUAAGUAACUAUGCACGUCUUGACGGUACCUAAUCAGAAAGCCACGGCUAACUACGUG
This 497-nucleotide ribosomal RNA is filed under the name uncultured bacterium. RNAcentral's name for it is "partial 16S ribosomal RNA". It matches the Rfam family "Bacterial small subunit ribosomal RNA", at positions 28 to 507 of the family's 1533-position model. The record is from RNAcentral.